AUGCCAUUUGGUUCUGCUGCAAAACUGAACCUAGUUCUGCAGCUGUUCAGUUAUAGUGGCAAGAGCAAAGGCCAUUGUACGAGCCUUGAGACCACCCUAUGGUUUUCAAGGUCCCUGAAGAUGGCUACAUGU
Rana temporaria (common frog) is the source of this 132-nucleotide small nucleolar RNA. RefSeq annotates it as small nucleolar RNA SNORA33. The transcript has a single exon. The record is from RefSeq and is a predicted model, not a curated record. Lineage: Eukaryota; Metazoa; Chordata; Amphibia; Anura; Ranidae.